Molecule: long non-coding RNA, 1246 nt
Organism: Leucoraja erinaceus (little skate)
Lineage: Eukaryota; Metazoa; Chordata; Chondrichthyes; Rajiformes; Rajidae
Exons: 2
Source: RefSeq, a predicted model, not a curated record
CUAUAGAGUUUGACAUAAACUGCUGCGUACAAGACAAUGCUUGGAACUUUACCUGACAAGAUGGACAAAAUAAAAGUCUGAAGAAGUCUCUAACCAAAACGUCACCCAUUCCUUCUCUCAAGAGAUGUUGCCUGUCCCGCUGAGUUACUCCAGCAUUUUUUGUCUAUCUUUAGGCAAAUUAAUACCUAUGCACCAACAAUAAUUCACCUUGAACACGUGCAACGCACUUCAAAGGGGGACGGAAACUACUGCUGUGGGGCUUGCAAAUUUACCAAUAACAUAUAGAUCUUCUAUUGUUCCCUUUCACUGCUCAAGAAGAAUAGCAAAUAAUAGCUCUGAAUCUGGGGAGUAUUUGAACAGUUUAAUUAUAAAUACUACCUCAACUUACACUCAUCACAAGAAAUCAGUGAUUGAACCAUUCAAAGCAGGUAGAAACAAUUAAUCUGUAGUCUGAAGAAAGGUUAUGACCUGAAAUGUCACCUAUUCCUUCUAUCCAGAUAUGGUGCCUGUCCCACUGAGUUACUCCAGCAUUUUGUGUCUAUCGCCGGUAGAAACAAUUAACGUGUUCGUAUUGUUAACAAGGGCGGCACGGUGACACAGCAGUAGAGUUGCUGCCUUACAGCUAUUGCAGCACCAGAGACCCGGCUUCGAUCCUGACUACGGGUGCUGCCUGUACGGAGUUUGUACGUUCUCCCCAUGACCUGAGUGGGUUUUCUCCGAGAUUUUCGGUUUCCUCCCACAUUCCAAAGACAUACAGAAAGCCUGGUCGAUCAGAGGAACUAACCUCCCCCCUAUCGAAGGAGGCCCUGCCACAAAAGGACAGCCAAAAUCAUCAAAGACUCACAGCAUCCUGCCCGCGCUUUUUAUUUCGCUACUACCAUUGGGAAGACGGUACAGGAGCUAGAAAACCGUGACCACCGGGGUCAAGAACAGUUUAUUCCCAGCAACCAUUGGGCUCUUGAACACUACACAGUACCCUCAUUGUCAGCAACUGUGGACUGUGUGUCUCUGGUUGCACUAUGGACUUUGUUUUUGUACUAUUAUGGUAAUCCAGUAUUACAAUUAUUAAUUUAUUGUAUUUUUGAUUAUUAUACAUUUAUCUAUGUGCUAUUCCAUUAACGGGCCUCUGAAGUGCUGAAUGCUGUGACCGAUGAAGGCUAGCACACCAUAUAACAUCUUUACAACUAUAAGAAUUUCAUUGUUCUGUUGUUGGUCCAUAUAUGACAAAUAAACUCUAGACCCUUGA